This is a long non-coding RNA of Choloepus didactylus (southern two-toed sloth), 1309 nucleotides long. RefSeq lists it as uncharacterized. Lineage: Eukaryota; Metazoa; Chordata; Mammalia; Pilosa; Megalonychidae. The transcript has 3 exons. The record is from RefSeq and is a predicted model, not a curated record.
CCCCUCCCCGCCGCCGUCGCGCGCUCGGCGGCGAUCUGUUUUGCUCGCGGUGGCGGGACGCGAGCGCGGAGAGGGAGGGCAGGGCGGAAAGCAUCCAGGACCCCGGCCCCGCCCCGCGCAGACACCCGGCCGCUGCGCCCCUCGCGCCGCUCCCCUUCUCACGCGCUGGCUGGCGGGUGCUCGGCCUUCGCCGCGGGCUCCUGGCACACGGGGCUGGGGUCGCCCUGGCGCCCUCCUGUCCCUCCUCCCGCGGGGCCGCGGGCGCGAGCACGGCACGUCCCAGCCUUGGGGAGUGGAGGACGCCCGUCUUCGGACUGGGACCGUGGUAGGAGACGAGUAAAGAGGGAAAGGGCUUGGAAAAUUACGGCGGCACAAGAAGGGGCAAGACCAGAUGGGCAGGCAAGGCCGACAGGCUUGGGUGUCGCGGCGUACGAGUUGUCGGGGUGUCUGAUGUAACUGGUAACAGCGUCAGCCCGCGAGCCCAGAAUCUUCUCACUCUCAGCUAGCACCUCUGCUGGUGCCAGUGCCUUCCUGAGUGGCAUGACCAAGAUCUUCAACCCUGAGCAGUUACAGCCUCUGUCACCAUGCCCAUCUCAGCUGGGGUUGCUGCACAUCAAUUUGCCAUCAAAAUUGGACAAGGAAGCAAUUCUCCCUCUCAUGUCGUCAGCGCCCACUAAAAGAAUGACUAGGUCAUCAUUCUCGGUGAAAAGCUUUGUAUUUUCUGCUUUGGAAACAAGGAACCCUACAUUGCAUUUGCACUGGGCCUGGCAAAUUAUAUAGCUGGUCCUGUCUCAUCCAUGGCUAGUGGCAAUGUAAAAAAUGUAUGACCAUUUUGGAAAACAGUUUGGUAGUUUCCUGUGAAGUUAACCAUGCAUUUACCACAUAAACCAUGGGAGAGAGAAGCUGAUUGAGUUAAUGUCACAUCUGCACCCCAAAGAAGAGAGUAGAAGAGAUCUUAUAAUUGGCACCCCCUCCAGAACCACACAAAAUGGACGAGGGGCAAUUCCCCCAAAUGAAUGGAAAAAGGCAGUCUGAGCAAACAAAAAUAAUAGACAGGCUGGACAACAAAGGGGAGAACAGAAUUGUAGGAGAGGGCAGGAGAGAGGUAAGAAAGGUGAGAAUAUUCCGCACAGAUGGCAGUGCUGAAAUUCAAGAUUCCUGCCAACUUCAAUAAAGCACUUGUUUGAUUCAAGUCUACAUUAACACACUGUUUUCGUUUCCAAGCUGCCAAAGCAAAUACUUACCAUGGGUUUGCUUAACAACAGGAAUAUACUGGGCUCAGGGUUUCAGAGGCUAGAAGGCCAGCUUC